This is a long non-coding RNA of Arabidopsis thaliana (thale cress), 273 nucleotides long. RefSeq annotates it as other RNA. Lineage: Eukaryota; Viridiplantae; Streptophyta; Magnoliopsida; Brassicales; Brassicaceae. The record is from RefSeq. The transcript has a single exon.
CUUCUAAGAGGACGUGGUGUGCAACUUGCGGUGGCUCAAUUUAAUAUAGGCAAUGGUAGAAGCAUCAUAUUGGGUCAGGAUCCAUGGCUCCCAACAAUGAUCUUGACUACUUCGAAUUAAACCAAAUGUUGAUCCGAGCUUACCAGUUCAAGUUCAACUCCACACAAGUACGGAACUCUGGAAAGAGGAGGAUAUAUGCAUGCAAAUCUAUGUCUCCAAUGAACAUAAUGAGGAUAUUUUUCUGUCUUUUUUGGGGACAAACAGGAAUUGCGA